CCAUCGCCACCAUCUUUAUGGUCAUCUCCAGGGAGAAGAAGGCAAAAAUGAUAUCAUCGAACAUCUGGAAGAAACAAGCAGAGGAACGCGGCUUGAUUAGAACAGGCCAGUAACCGAGAGGUAUGAAUACGUACCUGCAGUAUUUUACAUCGAUUCGUUACGCACUGAUCGUCCACGCACGGCUGGUACAUCCCGAGCGUGAUGCAGUUCAGAAGGAUCACCAUCAUGCUCACCCUUUCGAACCACCAAAUGCUCCAGUUCACACACAAUGGAUUCCACAUCGGUGUGCACGGGUGGCACGUCGUCCGACAGGUGUAUCCGCUCAAAUAGAAAACGGCUGAAUGUACGAGAGGCUUUGCGCGCUGAACCUAAUGGAUCGUGUUGUUGUUGCUGUUAACUUUCAUCCCCUUAUGAGGCAUUCACCGCUCUUGUUACCAAGCCUUCCGCAGCAGCUUAAUCAUUUAUAACAGUCGCAUGAAGAAAGGACAUACGACUGCAUUGCUCAAGCAUCAAAUUCACACGUGAUGAUGCCGCUCGUCUUUUAAAGCGUAGUAAGUAAGUAUAUAUAAUUGUAUAUAUAAUUGUUUCUUUUAUCAUUGAACGAUUAUCGUUAUAUCAUAUUUAUCAAACAAAUUUAUUGACUUAUUUUGUCUCAAUUAGAUCUCAUUGUAUGUUAGAUAAUUUAAAAUAUAAUUUUAUCACAG
Molecule: long non-coding RNA, 704 nt
Organism: Solenopsis invicta (red fire ant)
Lineage: Eukaryota; Metazoa; Arthropoda; Insecta; Hymenoptera; Formicidae
Exons: 3
Source: RefSeq, a predicted model, not a curated record